CUCAGGAUGAACGCUAGCUACAGGCUUAACACAUGCAAGGUCGAGGGGCAGCAUGGUCUUAGCUGCUAAGACUGAUGGCGACCGGCGCACGGGUGAGUAACGCGUAUCCAACCUGGCCCUUAGUAGGGAACAGCCCGGCGAAAGUCGGAUUAAUGCCCUAUGUUUUCCAAUGAUGGCAUCUGACUUGGAACAAAGAUUCAUCGCUAAGGGAUGGGGAUGCGUCUGAUUAGCUUGUCGGCGGGGUAACGGCCCACCGAGGCGACGAUCAGUAGGGGUUCUGAGAGGAAGGUCCCCACAUUGGAACUGAGACACGGUCCAAACUCCUACGGGAGGCAGCAGUGAGGAAUAUUGGUCAAUGGAGGCAACUCUGAACCAGCCAAGUAGCGUGCAAGGAGGACGGCCCUAUGGGUUGUAAACUGCUUUUAUGAGGGGAUAAACUGCGCCACGCGUGGUGUAUUGCAUGUACCUCAUGAAUAAGGACCGGCUAAUUCCGUGCCAGCCGCCGC
This 506-nucleotide ribosomal RNA is filed under the name uncultured bacterium. RNAcentral describes it as "bacterial SSU rRNA". It matches the Rfam family "Bacterial small subunit ribosomal RNA", at positions 23 to 518 of the family's 1533-position model. The record is from RNAcentral.